Magnolia sinica is the source of this 3872-nucleotide RNA transcript. RefSeq lists it as uncharacterized. NCBI's taxonomy places the organism in Eukaryota, Viridiplantae, Streptophyta, Magnoliopsida, Magnoliales, Magnoliaceae. The transcript is spliced from 20 exons. The record is from RefSeq and is a predicted model, not a curated record.
GUGUUGUAUUCGCUGUUCCAACAUCGAUCCCCCGUUCUCGACGAAAAAGAAAGAGAGGAGAAAGUAGAAGGUGACCGUACCUUUGACGCUACGCUGAUCGGAGACGUGACAUGGUAGUUGGAGAAGAUGAAUGAUACCGGCGGACGGGUGGUCCACCGGUGGAACCGGGUAAGACGUUGUUGCUGGAGGGAGGGGUGAGAGUAAUCAAAAUCCUUUGGAUUUUGCAAAACAGGUGGAUCAUCUUGGGGCUUUAGUUACAAGAACCUUAUACUCAGUUGCUGCUUCUGCUCCUGCUCCCGCUCCCGCUCCUGAAUCUUGUUCUCACUCUCGCUUCGCAGGGUUUUACAUUUCUUCACAUUUUGCGAGUUGUCACUCCCCUGUCCUGUAUGUAAAUCUUCCACCACUCUUGCUUUGUGCAUGUAAUGCUGGGGCUUGUUGUUUUGUAGCUGGAUCUGAAUAGCUGUAAUUUUUGUUAUAAGAAAACUUUCAAGGGACUCAGAGAUUUAUACAUCGGGGAAUGCGAGUUGUGGAUGUUGAGUGACAACCUCCAUGGAUUUGAACGCCUCACCUUUGCCAGAAGAAGAUGAAGACGUGAGUUUUGGAGAACAUAUUGAAGAAGAAACAUCGGAAGAGCACAUAGAGACAGCAGUAGAAACCUUGCGCAGAGAACGUGAAGAACGACGCCGCCGAUUGAAAAGAGAACACACAGAUGAAGGGCCUCAGAGAGAUGUACAACCACAUAAGACUAAUUCAGUGAUUUCAGAAAGGAAUUUUAGAUGUUAUGACAGAAGCAAGCUGCCCCCUGGUUGGUUGGAUUGUCCUGGACAUGGUCAAGCAAUUGGUUAUAUAAUCCCUUCUAAGGUUCCUCUCGGGGAGUCUUUCAAUGACUGUAUUGUGCCUGGUAAAAGAUAUUCUUCAAAACAAGCUAUCCAUCAACAAAAAGUGCUAAGAAGGGAACUUGGCUUGGUCAUUGAUCUGACAAAUACUUCUCGCUACUAUUCCCCAAUAGAUUGGAAGAAGCAAGGUAUUAAGCACUUUAAGAUUGCAUGCAAGGGACGUGAUGCUGUACCUGACAAUGAGUCUGUAAACCAUUUUGUCUAUGAGGUCUCGCAGUUCCUCCUCAACCAGAAGCACUCGAAGAAAUAUGUUCUUGUCCAUUGUACACACGGGCAUAACCGGACAGGUUUUAUGAUAAUUCAUUUUCUUAUUCGUUCGCAACACAUUUCUGUCACCAAGGCACUGCAACUGUUUGCUAAUGCACGGCCUCCAGGAAUCUAUAAGCAGGAUUACAUUGACGCAUUGUACAAAUUUUAUCAUGAAAAGAGGCCUGAGACAGUCACUUGUCCUUCCACUCCAGAGUGGAAAAGAUCUUCUGAUCUUGAUUUGAACGGUGAUGCUGUGCAGGAUGAGGAUGAUGAUGGUGUUAUUGCUGGUCCUUUGCAUGAGGAGCAGAUGGAAAAUGAAGUGAUGACAAAUGAUGAUGUUUUGGGAGAUGCAAUACCUUACUAUCAGCAAGAUUACAUGCGGAAGUUCUGCUAUCACUCACUUAAGUGCCCAAUAGGACCGAAAGGACACUCACGGUUUCCAGGAUCGCACCCAGUUUCUCUCAACAGGGAAAAUUUGCAACUCCUGAGACAGCGCUAUUAUUAUGCUACAUGGAAAGCAGAUGGAACACGAUACAUGAUGCUUAUCACUUCUGAGGGGUGUUAUUUGAUUGAUAGAAACUUUUGUUUUCGGAGGGUUCAGAUGCGGUUUCCUUUGAAACCUACAAAUGAGGGUAAUCGUAGUGAGAGGACCCAUGACCUAACAUUACUUGAUGGUGAGAUGAUACUCGACACUGUACCCACAACACAAAAGCUGGAAAGAAGAUACCUGAUUUAUGAUCUAAUGGCACUUAAUUCGCAGUCUGUUAUCGAGCUACCCUUCUCUGAAAGGUGGAAACUACUUGAGAAAGAAGUGAUUGAACCUCGAAAUAAUGAACGUUCAAAUAUUCAGCUGAGUGGAAAUCUUCAUUACAGAUAUGACAUGGAACCGUUCCGAGUCAGGAGGAAGGCUUUCUGGUUACUAUCCACUGUUGACAAGCUUCUCAUGGAAUUCAUUCCAAACCUUUCACAUGAGGCAGAUGGUCUUAUUUUUCAGGGCUGGGAUGAUCCAUAUGUACCUAAAACCCAUGAAGGCCUUCUAAAGUGGAAGUAUCCUGAAGUGAACUCGGUUGAUUUCCUGUUUGAGGUGGGAGAUGAUAUUAGUCAGCGACUUUAUCUUUUUGACAGAGGUAAAAAGAAGCAAUUGGAACGGAGUCGUGUUAUUUUUAAAGUGGGACCCAUCUGCAACCAGCCAAAACAGAUGAUGAUACACAGGCAGGCCCAUUUAAGUUUCAGCACUCUCAACUCCAGUCCCACUUUGUGAAAUGACUUGAGACUUGAGAGGUGUUGGAUAAGUGGGAGCUGUUUUGGCAGCACAGGUGAAAUAUCACUACUUUUGGUGUUAUUCUUAUUCCAUUUUGCCAUGUGAGCAUGUUUCAGUGGAUAAUACCCUGCUAUUUUGAGCGGCCAAUCACUCAAGCUUGGCUUUCCAUGUUGGUGAUUCGUUCUUACUAUUUUGUGUGGAAACUGCCCCUCCAUUACCCUACAUUACUAGCUCGCCUUUGGGGCAUGGAUGUAAUGGUUGAGCUGGAGGUUGCCACUGGGUGGGACUGUGUUGGCAUGUGAAUGGUGUCAAUGCAAGCCCUUUCCCAUGGCGUGCUGCAUCCAAAACUCCAUCUAAAAGAGGAAGUUUGAUGUUUGCUGGGCAGCAGAUUAUAAAACCUUUGCCAUUUAGUAACCAACCCAAAAUUUCUGGGGGGAACAGUUAAGAUGACGAUGACAACAACUACGGCUUGUCAUUUCCAAAUGACAGAAGGCAGAAAACUUUUGGGGGAAAAAACACUUACUGUUGUAUUCUGCUGUUUGGAAUUGUAUGCCUGCAAUUCUUAUCUCGAAUGGUACAGCAUUCGUUCAAACUCUUGAAUUUUUGGCUGCAGUUUUGAGAGAAAAAAAAUUCAAGCCUUUUCUCAAAGGCUCAAACCUUUUUCCCUUGCAACACAAGAUUAGCAGCAUUGUCAUAGCACUUGGAAAAUACAAAUUCAGAUCAAACUCUGAGGGCCUGUUUAGAUUUGUUGAAAUAUAAAUUGAUGAAAUGUCAUAUCCAUGAAAAUGGCAUUUUUUUUGUUUGUUUUUGUAAAUUUCUUGAAAAUGUCAUUUCCAUUUCUCUCAUUUCCUGAAAAAUGCCCCCUUUUAGUUUCCUUGCCUAGACUGGCAACAAAUUUUCCAUGAAUAUAGAUUUGUAAAUGAAAAAAAAUUUUCAAGAAAAUCUUGCUGAAAGACAACAUGGGAAACAGAUUUUCAUUUCUUACUGUUUUCUAGAUAUGGAGUUUCCCAAAAAACUCCAUUUUCUUCAAAUUUUUUUAUUUUUUUAAUAAAAUCCACAAAUCCAAACAGUCCUUAAAGUAGGAUCUUUUGCAUUUGAGUCUGCUCAGUUCUUUUGCCACUUCUGUGAAAGCAAACAAUUGGUCUUCCGGAAUGAUGAUGAGGAACUGUUUGGUUUACUCGUCGCUAGCAACAAUUUAGGCAAGGUGCUAAUUGAAGAAAAGGUUGGUUUAAAAUAUAGGCGGUGCCUGGUUCGGUACUUAUCACCAAUGUUGAUUAAGCUAGACAAUCAAACAAUUUUUUUUUUUUUGGAAAGGUAGUCUGAAGUUGCUGCUGCUGCUUCCUUUUGUGAAUUAGACCCCUCCACAUUUUCGGGGAAGAUUAUUGAGUGCAGUUGGAACUCAGAGGAGCAGUCCUGGGUAUACAUGCGCAUGAGGACAGACAAAGCAACCCCGAAUGAAUUUUUUA